This is a long non-coding RNA of Nematolebias whitei (Rio pearlfish), 276 nucleotides long. RefSeq lists it as uncharacterized. The record is from RefSeq and is a predicted model, not a curated record. Lineage: Eukaryota; Metazoa; Chordata; Actinopteri; Cyprinodontiformes; Rivulidae. The transcript is spliced from 3 exons.
AUAGAGAGCAUCUUGCUGUCUAUCCAUCAUCGUCCCUGGCUCAUGGGAGUUUAUGUCUUUGUCGUUGGACUUCCCGUCAUUCUCUUCAUAAGCUUCAUGUGGCCUGAUAAGAGGUUUGGACCACCUGAUCAACCAUAUUAUUAUAAGAAGUCUGAUGACAUUCAACCAGAUGAUCCUGAGACCUCACCGCUGAGGAAGUCAACAGACAAUAAAGGAAGCAGCAGAGAGAUCUCACCAGAGAAAACCAAAUCAACUCACAAAAGGAAUCUGAGCAAA